GUUUUGGCUCAUUACCUUUCUGUGGCAAAAUCUGUGUGUUCCAUUGUAAAGGAAAAUGGGCUCGUGUGGAGAUAACAAGCGUUCACAGUAGUCGUGCACUAGAUGUGCAGUUCAUGGAUACCGGAACAGUUGCCUCUGUAAAAGUAUCGGAGCUUCGAGAUAUUCCAUCACAGUUCCUGAGAGAAAUAAUCACCCUACCACCCCAGGCUAUGAAGUGCUGUUUAGCAGAUCUUCCCCGUAACAUUGGCAUGUGGACUCCAGAUGCUGUAUUGUGGCUGAGAGAUACAGUAUUAAAUUGUCCUGAUUGCAGCAUUAAGGUAAAUGUAAAUAUCUCAAACA
Molecule: long non-coding RNA, 339 nt
Organism: Caretta caretta (loggerhead turtle)
Lineage: Eukaryota; Metazoa; Chordata; Testudines; Cheloniidae
Source: RefSeq, a predicted model, not a curated record